This 341-nucleotide ribosomal RNA is filed under the name Campylobacter jejuni. Its description in RNAcentral is "partial 23S ribosomal RNA". It matches the Rfam family "Bacterial large subunit ribosomal RNA", at positions 1 to 353 of the family's 2925-position model. The record is from RNAcentral. Lineage: Bacteria; Pseudomonadati; Campylobacterota; Epsilonproteobacteria; Campylobacterales; Campylobacteraceae.
GGUAAAAAAAAGGUAAGCUACUAAGAGCGAAUGGUGGAUGCCUUGACUGGUAAAGGCGAUGAAGGACGUACUAGACUGCGAUAAGCUACGGGGAGCUGUCAAGAAGCUUUGAUCCGUAGAUUUCCGAAUGGGGCAACCCAAUGUAUAGAGAUAUACAUUACCUAUAUAGGAGCGAACGAGGGGAAUUGAAACAUCUUAGUACUCUCAGGAAAAGAAAUCAAUAGAGAUUGCGUCAGUAGCGGCGAGCGAAAGCGCAAGAGGGCAAACCCAGUGCUUGCACUGGGGGUUGUAGGACUGCAAUGUGCAAGAGGUAAGUUUAGCAGAACAUUCUGGAAAGUAUA